Chinchilla lanigera (long-tailed chinchilla) is the source of this 408-nucleotide long non-coding RNA. RefSeq lists it as uncharacterized. The record is from RefSeq and is a predicted model, not a curated record. The transcript is spliced from 4 exons. Lineage: Eukaryota; Metazoa; Chordata; Mammalia; Rodentia; Chinchillidae.
UGUGGCCUAGGGGGAGCUGCUUGGCCCCACAAAUGGAGCCUGAAAUCACCCCCUGGCUCCAGACCCAGGGCAACUAAGAAGGACAGGACAAGUCUCACUGUUUCCAUUUGGGAACACUGAAGAGCACCCUAACUUUACAAGCCUGCUCCUUCAUAAACAAUUCAGUUAGGUGGACCUGGCUGGGUGAGGUUCGGUCAUUCAAAAGAUGAGAAGAACCUGUAAUCUCACUCCAGAAGGAGACAUGAGCACCAAAAAACUCAGGAACGUUCAUUUGGUGAGCCACUUGUAGAAGCAGACUACACGGGAAGACAGGACAGUAAGCUUGGUUCAGUCUGAACCUACAUGGCCCCAUCAUUGUCUCCAGAGUCAGAGUUUACAGUAGCCUGGCAGGAAGAUCAUCAUUUCUAC